RNAcentral lists this ribosomal RNA (559 nucleotides) under Polysiphonia senticulosa. RNAcentral describes it as "eukaryotic LSU rRNA". It matches the Rfam family "Eukaryotic large subunit ribosomal RNA", at positions 1305 to 1870 of the family's 3401-position model. Lineage: Eukaryota; Rhodophyta; Florideophyceae; Ceramiales; Rhodomelaceae. The record is from RNAcentral.
AUUAGCCCUGAAAAUGGAUGGCGAUGAAGCGGGCAGCCGACACCACGCCGUCUAAUAAAAUAAACACGGUAAAACAGCACGAUUAGAUGAGUAGGAGGACGUGGCGGUUGUAUAGAAGCGUGUGCGCGAGCAUUCGUGGAACGGCCGCUAGUGCAGAUCUUGGUGGUAGUAGCAAAUAUUCAAAUGAGAUCCUUGAAGGGCGAAGCGGGGAAGGGUUCCACGCGAACAUUGAUUGAGCGUGGGUGAGUCGUUCCUGAGCCGUCUGGUAAUUGCUAGGCACCGGCGAAAGGGAAGCAGGUUGAUAUUCCUGCACACGGAGGUAGAUGCGGCGACGCACGCUGUGGCGGUGACGUUGUCGGUACGCACUGGACAGAGAUUUCUUUUCUGUUUGACAGAUCCAAAAACGCGCUGUGGAAUCCGCUUGUCGGGAGAAACAGGCGACCUUUUGGCAGAGCGCCGGGUAUUAUCUGGCGUCCAGUUUGCGACCGGCGACCCUUGAAAAACCGUCCGCGGAAAACUUCUACGCCGUAACGUACCCAUAACCGCAUCAGGUCCCCAA